Molecule: ribosomal RNA, 540 nt
Filed under: uncultured bacterium
Lineage: Bacteria
Description: partial 16S ribosomal RNA
Rfam family: Bacterial small subunit ribosomal RNA
Source: RNAcentral
UGGGGAAUAUUGGACAAUGGGGGCAACCCUGAUCCAGCCAUGCCGCGUGAGUGAUGAAGGCCUUCGGGUUGUAAAGCUCUUUUGGCGGGGACGAUGAUGACGGUACCCGCAGAAUAAGCCCCGGCUAACUUCGUGCCAGCAGCCGCGGUAAGACGAAGGGGGCUAGCGUUGUUCGGAAUUACUGGGCGUAAAGCGAGUGUAGGCGGUUGCCGUAGUCAGGUGUGAAAGCCUUGAGCUCAACUCAAGAAAUGCACUUGAUACUGGGUGACUAGAGGACCGGAGAGGAUAGUGGAAUUCCCAGUGUAGUGGUGAAAUACGUAGAGAUUGGGAAGAACACCAGUGGCGAAGGCGGCUAUCUGGACGGUUACUGACGCUAAGACUCGAAAGCGUGGGGAGCAAACAGGAUUAGAUACCCUGGUAGUCCACGCCGUAAACGAUGGGUGCUAGACGUUGGCGAGCUUGCUCGUCAGUGUCGCAGCUAACGCGUUAAGCACCCCGCCCGGGGAGUACGGCCGCAAAGGUUGAAACUCAAAUGAAUUG